CAGUGUUGUCCUACGCGAUCUUCUUCUCGACUGUGAUGGGGCCAAUCAUAUUUGUUUAUAGCUCAAAGAUCUUCUUGCUAAGUCUGCAUCUACAGGGUACGCAAUCGACGUUGCCUUGAACUGAGUGGUGUUCUUCUACAUGAUAAUGUCGGAAACGGCAGGGGCGGAUGCGGUAGGAGAUGGGUCAGUUUUUUGGUAAAUACACCAAGUGGAGGUCUGUUGCGAGGGAGAUAGAGCUGCAAAGGAACAGUGGGGUCCACGGUGAUGGAUGGAGGCAGUUGCGAGUGACAAUUAGGGAAAUAAUUAUAAGGUAACGGGUAUCUAGUAAAAAUGGAUGGCUUUGUAAGGUAUUUAGAGUAUUUAUACACAAUAUGAAUAUAGUAAUCUAUGCUAAUGUGGAUGAGGACAAAAAAGAAUUAUAAUGAUGAAUUUUCAAUGAGGAUAAGUAGACAAAAAUUUCUUAGGAAA
Syzygium oleosum is the source of this 468-nucleotide long non-coding RNA. RefSeq lists it as uncharacterized. Lineage: Eukaryota; Viridiplantae; Streptophyta; Magnoliopsida; Myrtales; Myrtaceae. The transcript has 2 exons. The record is from RefSeq and is a predicted model, not a curated record.